AAUUAUAGGGUAUUUUGUUGAAAUUGAACAAAUUAGAGGGAGCAAAAACACCAACUAGUACUUUCUCGGAAAUCUCCUAAAUUGAAAUGAAAAUUAGGUCAAAACCUCAGGAGAAUGUUAAGCAAUCAUUCUGUCCUUAUCAGAAAGCAGCACUCUCUCUCUCUCUCUCGUAAAAACCCCAACCCCUAACUCUUCCACUGAAAAUUAGACCAAAUUCAGAAGUAAUGUCUGACUAUUUUCCAAAGGAUAUCAUACAGGAAAUCCUCCAGAGGUUGCCCGCCAAGUGUUUGAUCAAAUGCACCUUAGUGUGCAAGCCAUGGAGGUCUCUGAUUCAAAGCCCUAGCUUCAUCCACAGCCACCUCCGCCGCACAAUCCAUUCCAACAACCAGAACGCAGCCGUUGGCCUCCUUCUGCUGAGGGCUUUUGCCGGCCACGAUAAUUGUACGCUUGACUCGUUGCAUUGGGAUUACUCUGAAACCGGUGAGCAUUCCAAGCUUGUAAAUCCUUACCCUUACAUUAAACAAGCUAUUUUCUCCCCAAGUGAAAGAGUUGUAGUUCGGGACUUCCAUGUGGUAGGAGCUUGUAAUGGGCUCGUAUGCCUUGCUGUUGACUUUGCCUAUGUUGGUUCCCACACAAUCAUUUGGAACCCUUCUGUUAGAAAGUUUGUAACUUUGCCUAGGCGUUGUGUUUCACUGAGCAAGACUGGUCAGCAUAGAGCAAGCUAUGCUUUUGGGUAUGAUUCGCGCACCAAUGACUAUAAAGUUUUGAGAAGUACGAGUAAUAGGUACGGGAAAACCCCGUGUGAGGUUGAGAUUUGGUCGUUACUCAGGGCCUCCUGGAAGAGUCUUAGUGCUGCUGUUGUUCCAGAAGAUUUCAUGUUUGGAGUUUAUAAUAAUCGUAAUGUUGUUCCUGGGAAUGUUGGGCCUGUAGAUAAACAUGCUUUUGUCAAUGGUUCUCUUCACUGGGUUCAACGCCGUACUGUAGGGGAGGACAAAUUCAUUUUGUGGUUUCAUAUGGGCAGUGAAUUAUUUGGAGAGAUAAUGAUGCCUGAAGGUUUGACAAGAGAGCGUUGCUUUGUUUUAAGGUACGAGGAGUCCCUUGCCUUGUUAGAUAGUGAAGAACUACAGGGAAAUUGUUCUAAAUUCGACAUUUGGGUGAUGAAAGAGCAUGGUGUGGUGGAAUCGUGGACUAAAUUAUUCACCGUACACCUGCACCGCCGUAUGUUGGAGCCAUUUUGUUUUACAAGGAGCGGUGAACUAGUGUUCAAAAUGGGUGGUAGUGGUCGACGGCUGCUAAAGGUGGAUCUUAAGACCGAAGAAUUUAAAUAUUUUGGAAUUGAUGGAUAUACGUGUCACUUCAUGGAUUCUUUUGUGGAGAGCCUUGUCUUACUUGGCCAAGCCAAUGCUAUUUCUUACUGAGGAGCCAGCAAGAAGUAAGAACAGGGUAGAUAAGGUUUUAUAAAAGUUUGCUUACGUAUUUUCUGUGAGAGGAGAAGAAGGAUCACUUGAUUGGCUAGAAUUGAGGCUAUUUGAUCUUUCAACUGGAGGGGACGGAUGCUUUAUGGAUUCUUUUGUAGAUAUCCUUGUCUUACUUGGCCAAGCCAAUGAUAGUUCUUACUGAGGAGUGGGAAAUAGGAACCAAGCACAGGUACUGGAAACUAUUUGUAAAGAAGGGGAGGGCCGACGACAAUUGAAAGAGAUGCAAAGCUCCUUGCUCUGCAAUCUGGGGGAAUAUUUCCUUAGUGGAAGAACCUCAAUAGACUGGUCAGGAUUGUCAGGAGGAGGCACUGGCCGGAUGGAGCUCGCGUCAACAAGCUCAGUAAGUAGCUUGUUUGGGUCAUCGUCAGAGGCCAGAUUCUCGUACUGCACCAGAGGCUUGUUCAUUUUCUUCUUCGUUGAGGGAUUUAAGGGUUGUGGGUUAAGGAUUUUGGCUGGGAACCAUGCAUUUUUGUAACCCUCUUCGUUGCUACAAACUUCCACCUUCGAAUCCUUGCUCAGAUGGGCUUCGCUCCUCACCAUCACUUUCUUGUUUUCGCUCACUUUCUUUCUCCAGAGAAAGACACACUACUACUAUAUUUACUAGUGUUUUAGCAGCAGAGCGGUCAAAUUGUACGACUCUCCCUCUCUCUCUCUCUUCAAAUUGUGCCUUUAUCUUAUCUCUGGUGAAAUGAAACAACUAAUGGUAAAAUUUGAACCAUAUAUUAUAUAUUUUUUUGUCUGAAUUUAAACGAUUUGUCGGUCAAUCAAGUUUCCUUGGAAGCCACAGGACUGAGAGAGUUAUUGUUGGCUUGGAUGUUUUGGUUAUCCGGAAGAUAUACCUAAAAACCCAAAGAUAUACCUUUAUACCCAAAAACCCAAAGGUAUACCUUUAUACCCAAAGAUAUACCCAAAAACCCAAAGGUGGAAGUUUGUAGCAAAAAAGAGGGUUACAAAAUUGCAUGGUUCCCAGCCAAAAUCCUUGACCCACAACCCUUAAAUCCCUCAACGAAGAAGAAAAUGAACAAGCCUCUGGUGCAGUAUGAGAAUCUGGCCUCUGACGAUGACCCAAACAAGAUACUUACUGAGUUUGUUGACGCGAGCUCCAUCCGGCCAGUGCCGCCUCCUGACAAUCCUGACCAGCCCUUAGAGCAAAGCUCCUCCCUUUUUUGUUUGUGUUUGUUGUUUGAAACUAUGACUGUUCUUUUUA
Molecule: RNA transcript, 2685 nt
Organism: Prunus avium (sweet cherry)
Lineage: Eukaryota; Viridiplantae; Streptophyta; Magnoliopsida; Rosales; Rosaceae
Gene name: F-box protein CPR1
Source: RefSeq, a predicted model, not a curated record